This 21-nucleotide microRNA is filed under the name Chiloscyllium plagiosum (whitespotted bambooshark). RNAcentral describes it as "microRNA PC-5p-970_1302". The record is from RNAcentral. Lineage: Eukaryota; Metazoa; Chordata; Chondrichthyes; Orectolobiformes; Hemiscylliidae.
AAGGUCCAACCUCAUAUGUCC